RNAcentral lists this ribosomal RNA (458 nucleotides) under uncultured bacterium. Its description in RNAcentral is "SSU rRNA". It matches the Rfam family "Bacterial small subunit ribosomal RNA", at positions 26 to 518 of the family's 1533-position model. The record is from RNAcentral.
AGAAUCAACGCUGGCGGCGUGCCUAACACAUGCAAGUCGAACGAGAAAGUGGAGCAAUCCAUGAGUAAAGUGGCGCACGGGUGAGUAACACGUGACUAACCUACCUUUUAGUGGGGGAUAACCUAGGGAAACCUGGGCUAAUACCGCAUAAUACCUACGGGUCAAAGCAGCAAUGCGCUGAAAGAGGGGGUCGCGGUCGAUUAGUUAGUUGGCAGGGUAAUGGCCUACCAAGACUGUGAUCGAUAUCCGGCCUGAGAGGGCGCACGGACACACUGGAACUGAAACACGGUCCAGACUCCUACGGGAGGCAGCAGUGGGGAAUUUGCGCAAUGGGGGAAACCCUGACGCAGCAACGCCGCGUGGAGGAUGAAGUCCCUUGGGACGUAAACUCCUUUCGAUCGGGACGAUAAUGACGGUACCGGAAGAAGAAGCCCGGCUAACUUCGCGCCAGCAGCCGC